GACGAACGCUGGCGGCGGGCUUAACACAUGCAAGUCGAACGGAAAGGCCCUGCUUGUGUGGGGUGCUCGAGUGGCGAACGGGGGAGUAACACGUGAGUAACCUGCCCUUGACUUUGGGAUAACUUAAGGAAACUGGGGCUAAUACCGUAUAGGAUCUCCUGCUGCAUGGUGGGGGUGGGAAAGUUUCGGCGGUCGGGGAUGGACUCGCGGCUUAUCAGCUUGUUGGUGGGGUAGUGGCUUACCAAGGCUUUGACGGGUAGCCGGCCGGAGAGGGUGACCGGCCACCUUGGGACUGAGAUACGGCCCAGACUCCUACGGGAGGCAGCAGUGGGGAAUAUUGCACAAUGGGCGGAAGCCUGAUGCAGCAACGCCGCGUGCGGGAUGACGGCCUUCGGGUUGUAAACCGCUUUCGCCUGUGACGAAGCGUGAGUGACGGUAAUGGGUAAAGAAGCACCGGCUAACUACGUG
This 468-nucleotide ribosomal RNA is filed under the name uncultured bacterium. RNAcentral's name for it is "partial 16S ribosomal RNA". It matches the Rfam family "Bacterial small subunit ribosomal RNA", at positions 28 to 507 of the family's 1533-position model. The record is from RNAcentral.